Molecule: ribosomal RNA, 199 nt
Filed under: uncultured bacterium
Lineage: Bacteria
Description: partial 16S ribosomal RNA
Rfam family: Bacterial small subunit ribosomal RNA
Source: RNAcentral
ACGCUCGACACCUACGGGAGGGCAGCAGUGGGGAAUAUUGCACAAUGGGGGAAACCCUGAUGCAGCGACGCCGCGUGAGUGAAGAAGUAUUUCGGUAUGUAAAGCUCUAUCAGCAGGGAAGAAAAUGACGGUACCUGACUAAGAAGCCCCGGCUAACUACGUGCCAACAGCCGCGGUAAUCUGAGCGGGCUGGCAAGGC